AUACGUAGGGGGCGAGCGUUGUCCGGAAUGAUUGGGCGUAAAGGGCGCGUAGGCGGCCUGUUAAGUCUGGAGUGAAAGUCCUGUUUUCGAGAUGGGAAUUGCUUUGGAUACUGAUGGGCUUGAGUGCAGGAGAGGUUAUCGGAAUUCCCGGUGUAGCGGUGAAAUGCGUAGAGAUCGGGAGGAACACCAGUGGCGAAGGCGGGUAACUGGACUGCAACUGACGCUGAGGCGCGAAAGUGUGGGGAGCAAACAGGAUUAGAUACCCUGGUAGUCCACGCCGUAAACGAUGAGUACUAAGUGUCGGGAUAACCCGGUGCUGCAGUUAACGCAUUAAGUACUCCGCCUGAGUAGUACGUGCGCAAGCAUAAAACUCAAAUGAAUUGGCGGGG
This 389-nucleotide ribosomal RNA is filed under the name uncultured bacterium. Its description in RNAcentral is "partial 16S ribosomal RNA". It matches the Rfam family "Bacterial small subunit ribosomal RNA", at positions 523 to 918 of the family's 1533-position model. The record is from RNAcentral.